RNA transcript from Rhododendron vialii, 3216 nucleotides. It is a transcript of the gene named DExH-box ATP-dependent RNA helicase DExH18, mitochondrial, with no coding region annotated. The record is from RefSeq and is a predicted model, not a curated record. Lineage: Eukaryota; Viridiplantae; Streptophyta; Magnoliopsida; Ericales; Ericaceae. The transcript is spliced from 3 exons.
AAAAAGAAAAAAAGAAAAGAAAAGAGGUCUAGGGUUUUGGAGCAUUAACGCCCACCACCCUUCUCCCUCCAUUGCCUCUCUCUCUCUUCUCUCUCUUUCUCAACCAUCCGAAUAUCUCUUCACCCAAACCAGGUACGCUCCAAAUUCAACUACGAACACCGUUACACAAACAUAUAGGAGUAUUCGCUUUCUGUUUCGCAUUUUUUUUUUCCAUGUAAAAACUUUUCACUUUUCCAUGGCUGGAGGCUCUGCUUCUCAUAUCUUACGUAAAUAUUCAUCCAAACGUAGCAAUGUGAUUAGGGUUUCUUCGUUACUAUCCAACCGAUGCCUCCAUCAUUCCGCACAAUCCAAACCCUCAAAACCCCCAAAUUCCCCAAAUUUCGUUAUACCCUCCUUAAUCAACCGAAUAAUAUGUUAUAAUCCACAAUUCAAGCUGUUAAAUUUUGACAAACUACUGUUUUCGACGCUGGUCGAAAAUGGGGACAGUGUUCUUGAUUCAGAAAACGGGGAUUCGGGUUUUAAAGUAGUUGCUGGAUUCGAGCACGUAGGAGCUCGUGAUCCUCUUGACAUUUAUAGGGCCGUUCGAGAUUCGCCCGAGGGCAAAAAGAGGACUCAGAGUGAUUGGGAUGUACUCAUUGAGAUCUUUCGUAGUUUUUCGAAGUCGGGUUGGGCAUCCAAUCAAGCAUUGGCAGUUUAUAUCGGGGUGUCGUUUUUUCCUACCGCAGCCCACAAUUUCCGUAACUUCUUCUUCAAAAAAUGCGGGGAUGAUGUUUCAAAGUACUUGGUUGAACUGGGUCCGGGCGAUGCAGCCGAACGUUUUCUGUUCCCUAUAUUUGUUGAGUUUUGCUUAGAAGAAUUUCCCAAUGAGAUUAAGAGGUUUAGGAGCAUGAUUGACUCAGCGGACCUUACAAAACCACACACUUGGUUUCCAUUUGCUCGAGCUAUGAAACGCAAGAUUAUAUACCAUUGCGGCCCGACUAAUAGUGGUAAAACGUAUAAUGCUUUGCAAGGGUUUAUGGAAGCGAAGAAGGGUAUCUAUUGUAGUCCUCUUAGGCUUUUGGCCAUGGAAGUUUUUGAUAAGGUGAAUGCGCAUGGGGUAUACUGCAGUCUCCUUACUGGGCAAGAAAAGAAGCAUGUUCCAUUUUCAAACCAUAUUGCUUGUACUGUAGAGAUGGUAUCAACUGAUGAUAUCUAUGAUGUGGCCGUUAUUGAUGAAAUCCAAAUGAUGUCAGACCGGUACAGAGGUUAUGCGUGGACGAGGGCUUUACUUGGGUUGAAGGCUGAUGAGAUACACUUGUGUGGGGAUCCAAGCGUAUUGAAUAUUGUUCGAAAAUUCUGUUCAGAAAUAGGGGAUGAGUUGUGUGAGAACCAUUAUGAGAGAUUUAAGCCAUUGGUGGUUGAAGCCAAGACCCUUUUGGGCGAUCUUCGAAAUGUUCGCUCGGGGGAUUGUGUUGUUGCUUUCUCAAGGAGAGAGAUAUUUGAGGUGAAAUUGGCAAUUGAGAAGCACACAAAUCAUCGCUGUUGUGUUAUUUAUGGUGCUUUGCCUCCGGAGACUCGUAGGCAGCAAGCUACAUUGUUUAAUGAUCAAGAUAACGAAUUCGAUGUCUUGGUUGCUAGUGAUGCAGUUGGAAUGGGUUUGAAUCUUAAUAUUAGAAGGGUUGUUUUUUAUACCCUUUCAAAGUAUAAUGGUGACAAGAUUGUUCCAGUUCCAGCAUCACAGGUAAAGCAGAUUGCCGGAAGAGCUGGUCGGAGAGGAAGUCUCUAUCCAGAUGGGUUGGCAACCACCUUGCAUUUUGAAGACUUGGAUUACUUAAUCGAGUGCUUGAAGGAACCUUUUGACGAUUUUACCAAAGUGGGUCUCUUUCCUUUCUUUGAGCAAGUUGAGUUAUUUGCAGGGAAACUUCCAAAUGUUACUUUUCCCAAACUACUAGAAAAAUUUAGUGAGAAUUGCCGUUUGGAUGGAUCUUACUUCUUGUGCCAACACGAGCAUGUAAAGAAGGUUGCUAACAUGUUGGAGAAGGUUCAGGGAUUAUCUCUCGAAGAUCGUUUCAAUUUUUGCUUUGCUCCAGUUAAUAUCAGAGAUCCAAAAGCAAUGCAUCAUCUUCUGAGAUUUGCAUCAUCGUAUUCCCAGAAAUUGCCUGUCAGUAUAGCCAUGGGAAUGCCAAAAGGUUCUGCUAAUAAUGAUACCGAGCUCUUGGCUCUUGAGUCCAAGCAUCAGGUGUUGUCUAUGUAUUUAUGGCUGUCGCACCACUUCAAAGAGGAAACUUUCCCGUACGUGAAAAAGGCCGAGGCAAUGGCAACUGAUAUUGCUGACUUAUUAGGUAAGUCACUCAUCAAAGCUUGCUGGAAACCAGAAUCAAGGACGCAAGCAAAACCAAAGCCUCUUGUGAAGAAAGAUGGAUAUGAGAGACCAAGGUCGAUUAUUAAGUUACACGAGACGAAAAGGCUUGAAAAAUCUGUUCUGCCUGGUCAUCUGGAGAAGGUAGCAGCAUAGUGCUGUCCGAAGGUGCAUGUACUGCUAUCACACCCAAGUUCUUGGUUUGGUUUACCUUCUGCUGGGUAUUAUGAGCGAUGAUAUCUCCGUGAAAUUUAUGUAAUAUUGCUGCCUAUUCUUCAAUAAGAGAUCUUCUGUUCAGCGAUGGUUUAUAAUAUAUAUGGCAGAAAAGGAAUUGCAUGGUAUUUCAGGGUGUCUAAAGGUUGUAGUAUUAGGGCUGAAAUUAUCGAUGCAUCUGGUAGUAUCAGGAGGAUUUCCACCACCUUCACAGUAGCUGUUCUGGUUCUUGCUGUUUACUACCGGCAAAAGAGGUGCAGUAGUUCUCAGCAUGCCUGGUGGGAGCGAAUAGCACUAAUCGUGGCCUGUACCUUAGGGCCCAGUGUUCUUCGGAGUGACUCAAGAUAUCCUGAUCGGACAUAAUAGCUUUCGAGGGGGAAGCGAAAAACAGACUUUGGCACCAGUGUCCUGGAAAGGAUAUCUCUGUCUUUCGACUAACCAUAACAACUGAAAGGACCAUGGUCGUUGCGUUCAUGGAUGAUGUUGCAUUGAGCGAAUCCUUCUGGCCUUGUAAACUUAUCGUAUAUGGAUUUUUAGUUCAAUGUCACAGGUUUGUUUAUCUUAAUCUAACGUAAUUCAAGGAGUAACCUAGAAUAGAAAUGUAAACUUGUCUAGGGACUUUUAACAAGCCAAACUCGAAUGAAUUUCUAAUGAAUUAUUCGCUA